Molecule: small RNA, 860 nt
Filed under: Arabidopsis thaliana (thale cress)
Lineage: Eukaryota; Viridiplantae; Streptophyta; Magnoliopsida; Brassicales; Brassicaceae
Description: ATSL204540
Source: RNAcentral
UAAAUCCAUUGGAUUUUGACAUAUUUUGACCAUAGAAACACUAACAAAGCUGUUUACUGCUUCUAAGCAAGUUUUUGUUGGUUUUAGCCUCAUUUGGGAGAAAUGGGUGUAAGUGUUGUCUAAACACUCCUAAUCCAUCUCAAAGUCAUAUAAUUAGUCCAAUGCAUUGGAUUGUAAUAUAUUUUGACCUUUGAAACACUUACAAAGUUAUUUACUGCUUCCAAACAAUUUUUGUUGGUUUUAGCCUCUUUUGGGACAAAUUGGAUAUAAGUGUUGUCUAAACACUCCUAAUCCAUCUCUAACUCUUAUAAUUAGUCAAAUGCAUUGGAUUGUGAUACAUUUUGACUAUUGAAUAACUAACAAAGCUAUUUCUGCUUCUAAGGAAUUUGUUUGUUGGUUUUAGCCUCUUUUGGGUGAAAAUGGGUGUAAGUGUUGUUUGAACACUCCUAAUCAUCCUCUAACUCUUAUAAUUAGUCAAAUGCAUUGGAUUGUGACACAUUUUGACCAUAGAAACACUAACAAAACUAUUUACUGUUUCUAACCAAUUUUUUGUUGGUUUUAGCCUCUGUUGGGACAAAAUGGGUGUAAGUGUUGUCUAAACACUGCUACUCCAUCUCUAACUCAUAUAAUUAGUCAAAUGCAUUGGAUUGUGACACAUUUUGACCAUAGAAACACAGAGCUAUUUAUUGCUUCUAAGCAAUUUUUUGUUGGUUUUAGUCUCUUUCGGGAGAAAAUGGGUAUAAGUGUUGUCUAAACACUCCUAAUCCGUUUUUAUCUCUUCUAAUUAGUCAAAUGCAUUGGAUUCUGACACAUUUUAACCAUAGAAAUACUAACAAGGCUAUUGACUGCUUCUCAGCAAU